GACGAACGCUGGCGGCGUGCUUAACACAUGCAAGUCGAACGGAAAGGCCCUGCUUUUGUGGGGUGCUCGAGUGGCGAACGGGUGAGUAACACGUGAGUAACCUGCCCUUGACUUUGGGAUAACUUCAGGAAACUGGGGCUAAUACCGGAUAGGAGCUCCUGCUGCAUGGUGGGGGUUGGAAAGUUUCGGCGGUUGGGGAUGGACUCGCGGCUUAUCAGCUUGUUGGUGGGGUAGUGGCUUACCAAGGCUUUGACGGGUAGCCGGCCUGAGAGGGUGACCGGCCACAUUGGGACUGAGAUACGGCCCAGACUCCUACGGGAGGCAGCAGUGGGGAAUAUUGCACAAUGGGCGGAAGCCUGAUGCAGCAACGCCGCGUGCGGGAUGACGGCCUUCGGGUUGUAAACCGCUUUCGCCUGUGACGAAGCGUGAGUGACGGUAAUUGGUAAAGAAGCACCGGCUAACUACGU
Molecule: ribosomal RNA, 467 nt
Filed under: uncultured bacterium
Lineage: Bacteria
Description: partial 16S ribosomal RNA
Rfam family: Bacterial small subunit ribosomal RNA
Source: RNAcentral